Rhinolophus ferrumequinum (greater horseshoe bat) is the source of this 126-nucleotide small nucleolar RNA. The record is from Ensembl. NCBI's taxonomy places the organism in Eukaryota, Metazoa, Chordata, Mammalia, Chiroptera, Rhinolophidae.
GAGCACUGUUCGUGACCUGUUUACCUGGCUGUGGCUAACGGGUUCCAUUCCAGUGCCACAGCAAUUCCAAGAACACAUGAUUGGCCGACUGGUGGUGGCUGUCAGUUUCAGGUCUUGGAGACAAAA